AGGCCCCUCCUUCCAAGCCCCAGCUCCGGCUCACCCCUGCCACGUCAAAGGAGGCAGAAGGGGAGUUGGGAGCAGAGCGGGGACCA
This 86-nucleotide microRNA precursor is filed under the name Callithrix jacchus (white-tufted-ear marmoset). RNAcentral describes it as "mir-3154 microRNA precursor family". It matches the Rfam family "mir-3154 microRNA precursor family". Lineage: Eukaryota; Metazoa; Chordata; Mammalia; Primates; Cebidae. The record is from Rfam by way of RNAcentral.